AGGAUUAACGCUGGCGGCGUGCCUGACACAUGCAAGUCGAACGAGGCCGCAAGGCCGAGUGGCGGACGGGUGAGUAACACGUGACCAACCAACCUCGAAGUUGGGAAUAGCUCUGCGAAAGUAGGGGUAAUACCGAAUGUGGCCCAGGGCAGGCAUCUGCCUUGGUCUAAAGAUUCAUCGCUUCGAGACGGGGUCGCGGCCUAUUAGCUUGUUGGUGGGGUAACGGCUCACCAAGGCGAUGAUGGGUAGCUGGUCUGAGAGGACGACCAGCCACACUGGGACUGAGACACGGCCCAGACUCCUACGGGAGGCAGCAGUGAGGAAUCUUCCGCAAUGGGCGAAAGCCUGACGGAGCAACGCCGCGUGUGGGAUGAAGGCUCUAGGGUUGUAAACCACUGUCGGAGGGACGAUCGUGACGGUACCCUCCAAGAAAGCCCCGGCUAACUACGCGCCAGCAGCCGC
This 462-nucleotide ribosomal RNA is filed under the name uncultured bacterium. Its description in RNAcentral is "SSU rRNA". It matches the Rfam family "Bacterial small subunit ribosomal RNA", at positions 26 to 518 of the family's 1533-position model. The record is from RNAcentral.